Molecule: ribosomal RNA, 233 nt
Filed under: uncultured bacterium
Lineage: Bacteria
Description: partial 16S ribosomal RNA
Rfam family: Bacterial small subunit ribosomal RNA
Source: RNAcentral
CGGGUGAGUAACGCGUGAGGAACCUGCCUCAAAGAGGGGGACAACAGUUGGAAACGACUGCUAAUACCGCAUAAGCCCACGGCUCGGCAUCGAGCAGAGGGAAAAGGAGCAAUCCGCUUUGAGAUGGCCUCGCGUCCGAUUAGCUAGUUGGUGAGGUAAUGGCCCACCAAGGCGACGAUCGGUAGCCGGACUGAGAGGUUGACCGGCCACAUUGGGACUGAGAUACGGCCCAG